CCUACGGGAGGCAGCAGUGGGGAAUAUUGGACAAUGGGGGGAACCCUGAUCCAGCCAUGCCGCGUGUGUGAAGAAGGCCCUCGGGUUGUAAAGCACUUUCAGUGAGGAAUAACGCCUGGUGGUUAAUACCCAUCAGGAAAGACAUCACUCACAGAAGAAGCACCGGCUAACUCCGUGCCAGCAGCCGCGGUAAUACGGAGGGUGCGAGCGUUAAUCGGAAUUACUGGGCGUAAAGCGCGCGUAGGUGGCUUGAUAAGCCGGUUGUGAAAGCCCCGGGCUCAACCUGGGAACGGCAUCCGGAACUGUCAAGCUAGAGUGCAGGAGAGGAAGGUAGAAUUCCCGGUGUAGCGGUGAAAUGCGUAGAGAUCGGGAGGAAUACCAGUGGCGAAGGCGGCCUUCUGGACUGACACUGACACUGAGGUGCGAAAGCGUGGGUAGCAAACAGGAUUAGAUACCCCAGUAGUC
Molecule: ribosomal RNA, 465 nt
Filed under: Vreelandella stevensii
Lineage: Bacteria; Pseudomonadati; Pseudomonadota; Gammaproteobacteria; Oceanospirillales; Halomonadaceae
Description: partial 16S ribosomal RNA
Rfam family: Bacterial small subunit ribosomal RNA
Source: RNAcentral